Long non-coding RNA from Erpetoichthys calabaricus (reedfish), 1045 nucleotides. RefSeq lists it as uncharacterized. The record is from RefSeq and is a predicted model, not a curated record. The transcript has 3 exons. NCBI's taxonomy places the organism in Eukaryota, Metazoa, Chordata, Cladistia, Polypteriformes, Polypteridae.
GAGGAGCAUUGUAUUCUUUAAAAGGAUCUGUGCUGUAGAUUAAUUAGAACUACAGUGACCAACAUAGUGCCCAUACUGAGGACAACAACAAGGGAAGACAAAUAUACCUCCAAACAUGAGGUUUCUUCAAUGGCAAAACGUAUAGUCAAGUAUUAUCCAAAGCUAUAUGCAGCUGAAGAUCAAAAUUCAUGGGAACCUGUGUUUAAACAACUCCUGGAAAGGCUACAGAAUAUCUGCACACCUCAGAAGCGACAGGACUGUAUGCCUCAAAUAAAUAAAGAGAUGUCUCGGCAUCACCACUGACAAGCCUGAUGCUGCUGAAGUCGAGAAUUCAGGCGAGGCCGAUUCCACUGCAUCUUCGGGGAAUUCUAUUGCUUCAGCGAUGCUUGUUAUUGUGUCACCUUCUAGUCGUACCCAAGAAGUUACAGCAGAGAAAGAAUGUGAACCAUCUAGUAAGCACUACAAAACACUACAGGACCUUUACAAGAAGCCAAAGCCAAAUGAAUUUGCAGUUACCCAGCUCCUUGAUCAUGAAUUUAAUGCACAGAGGUAAUUUAUAGAUUAUAUGGGAGGCUUACCCAUGCUUUAAAGAACUGGAUCAUGUAAGUGCAUACAACACAGACAUCUGACUGAAAUAUUUUUGAAAAUGGUUUCUUAAAACAAAAUAUGUGCUGACUUAGAGUGUGCUUAUUUUAUAGGUAAUGGAUGAAAUGUGUUGUAUUCUUAGUUGGAAUAAUCUUAAAUACAUCACAGAAGUUAAGAGUAGAUGGACCAGUUUUUAUGGAAAAGCACAGCUGUAUGGAGUAAUGAAGAAGAUCCUGAAGCCUCCACAUAUGCACGAUGAUGGUAACAUUUGUCAUGCAUAUUUUAUUCAAACUCAUUUUAGUUAGUUAUGCACUUUACUCAGUGUUGCAGCAUGAUAGGCCUAAAUGAAAGUCAAAUUGAAGUUGUUUAAAGUUAUGAUAUUUUGCAGUUGAUGCUCAAAGGGUUGCACUUUUUUAUGCCAUUUUUUUUCCAUAAAGAAUCAAGUCUAUAUUAUAGUAAG